Small nucleolar RNA from Ananas comosus (pineapple), 94 nucleotides. It matches the Rfam family "Small nucleolar RNA snoR20a". Rfam says of the family: The O.sativum sequence was obtained from the plant snoRNA database. Lineage: Eukaryota; Viridiplantae; Streptophyta; Magnoliopsida; Poales; Bromeliaceae. The record is from Rfam.
GCCGAUGAUGACAUUGCGAGUGGCUGAACAGCAGGUUUAUUUUAUCUGCUGCAUCUUGUUGAAACAAAAUGCAAGAACUAGGACGGUCUGAGGC